This 253-nucleotide ribosomal RNA is filed under the name uncultured bacterium. RNAcentral's name for it is "partial 16S ribosomal RNA". It matches the Rfam family "Bacterial small subunit ribosomal RNA", at positions 524 to 776 of the family's 1533-position model. The record is from RNAcentral.
UACGUAGGCAGCAAGCGUUGUUCGGAGUUACUGGGCGUAAAGAGUGCGUAGGCGGUCCGGCAAGUUCGGUGUGAAAUCUCCCGGCUUAACUGGGAGGGUGCGCCGAAGACUGUUGGGCUGGAGUGUGGGAGAGGCAGGCGGAAUUCCUGGUGUAGCGGUGAAAUGCGCAGAUAUCAGGAGGAACACCUAUGGCGAAGGCAGCUCGCUGGGACGGUACUGACGCUGAGGCGCGAAAGCGUGGGGAGCGAACAGG